This 498-nucleotide ribosomal RNA is filed under the name uncultured bacterium. RNAcentral's name for it is "partial 16S ribosomal RNA". It matches the Rfam family "Bacterial small subunit ribosomal RNA", at positions 30 to 523 of the family's 1533-position model. The record is from RNAcentral.
AUUGAACGCUGGCGGCAUGCCUUACACAUGCAAGUCGAACGGUAACAGGUCUUCGGAUGCUGACGAGUGGCGAACGGGUGAGUAAUACAUCGGAACGUGCCUAGUAGUGGGGAAUAACUACUCGAAAGAGUGGCUAAUACCGCAUGAGAGCUACGGAUGAAAGCAGGGGAUCGCAAGACCUUGUGCUACUAGAGCGGCCGGUGGCAGAUUAGGUAGUUGGUGGGAUAAAAGCUUACCAAGCCGACGAUCUGUGGCUGGUCUGAGAGGACGAUCAGCCACACUGGGACUGAGACACGGCCCAGACUCCUACGAGAGGCAGCAGUGGGGAAUUUUGGACAAUGGGCGAAAGCCUGAUCCAGCAAUGCCGCGUGCAGGAUGAAGGCCUUCGGGUUGUAAACUGCUUUUGUACGGAACGAAAAGCCCUGGGUUAGUACCCUGGGGUCAUGACGGUACCGUAAGAAUAAGCACCGGCUAACUACGUGCCAGCAGCCGCGGUAA